GACGAACGCUGGCGGCGUGCUUAACACAUGCAAGUCGAACGGAAAGGCCCUGCUUGCAGGGUGCUCGAGUGGCGAACGGGUGAGUAACACGUGGGUGAUCUGCCCCUUACUUUGGGAUAAGCCUGGGAAACUGGGUCUAAUACUGGAUAGGACCAUGCUGUAGGUGGUGUGGUGGAAAGAUUAGUUUCGGUAAGGGAUGAGCUCGCGGCCUAUCAGCUUGUUGGUGGGGUAAUGGCCUACCAAGGCGUCGACGGGUAGCCGGCCUGAGAGGGUGGACGGCCACAUUGGGACUGAGAUACGGCCCAGACUCCUACGGGAGGCAGCAGUGGGGAAUAUUGCACAAUGUGCGCAAGCCUGAUGCAGCGACGCCGCGUGGGGGAUGACGGCCUUCGGGUUGUAAACUCCUUUCAGCCAUGACGAAGCCCUUGUGGUGACGGUAGUGGUAGAAGAAGCACCGGCUAACUACGAG
Molecule: ribosomal RNA, 469 nt
Filed under: uncultured bacterium
Lineage: Bacteria
Description: partial 16S ribosomal RNA
Rfam family: Bacterial small subunit ribosomal RNA
Source: RNAcentral